RNAcentral lists this ribosomal RNA (327 nucleotides) under uncultured eukaryote. Its description in RNAcentral is "partial 18S ribosomal RNA". It matches the Rfam family "Eukaryotic small subunit ribosomal RNA", at positions 1470 to 1796 of the family's 1831-position model. The record is from RNAcentral.
CCCUUAGAUGUUCUGGGCCGCACACGCGCUACACUGAAGGAGGCAGCGUGUACUCCUGGAUCGAAAGAUUUGGGUAACCCGCGAAUCUCCUUCGUGCUCGGGAUUGAGGUUUGCAAUUAUCCUUCAUGAACGAGGAAUUCCCAGUAAGUGCAAGUCAUAAGCUUGCGCUGACUACGUCCCUGCCCUUUGUACACACCGCCCGUCGCUACUACCGAUUGAAUGAUUUAGUGAGGACUUCGGACUGGGACCGAUGCGGCUUUCGGGCUGCGUCGGUAUUCUGGAAAGAUGUCCAAACUGUAUCAUUUAGAGGAAGUAAAAGUCGUAACA